RNAcentral lists this long non-coding RNA (1026 nucleotides) under Piliocolobus tephrosceles (Ugandan red Colobus). RNAcentral's name for it is "lncRNA (ENSPTEG00000002377.1)". The record is from RNAcentral. Lineage: Eukaryota; Metazoa; Chordata; Mammalia; Primates; Cercopithecidae.
CAAAUUUGUAUAAUAUUAUUAAUUCGUAAUUUGGAAAAAGAAAAAAAGAGUAAUAAAAAUAUAGAACACGAACAAACUGUACAUAAUGUACAUAAUUCUUUUGAUUUUCCUCGUUCAGUUAAUUCUGUUGAAUAUAAUAAAAAAAAGGAAGAGUCACAUAAAACCGAAUGUACAGAAAAAGAUACUACAACUUCAUCACAACCAAAAAUAAACAAAUUACAAAUAAAUAGAUUAGAAAUAAACACACCUACGAAUUUUAACAAUAAUUUUAACAAAAUUAAUGAUGAAUUUCAAUUAAUUUUAUUAUAUAUUUCUUUAUGUUAUUAUAAUAUAUAUUUAUUAAGUGAUAAUGAUAAUUAUUUUUUAUAUGUAAGUUUACUUUUAUUUUUAUACAAUUUUACACAUUUUAAAAAUAAAAAAAUAACACACCACUUUUAUUUUAAUGAAAACGAAUGGGUAGAGUAUGUUAUAUGUGUACCUCACUUUUUAUUAGAUAUAUGUAAAAAAAUAAGUAUAAUUUAUAAAAAAAAAAAUUAUAUAUAUACUUCUUUAUUCUUUUUAACAUACUGUUACUUUUUUUAUAAAUGUACUAAAAAAUUGGGUAACACAAAUGAAAGUUGUGACGAUAAAAGUUAUAAUAAUAAGAACAAUAAUAAUUUAUAUGAACAAAAAAAGCAGGUAGAUAUAGAAUUUAUAACAAUUUUUCAAAACAUUAGUGAUAUAUUUAUACAAUUAAAACGUUAUACCUUAUCUAAUUUUUUAGUAUUAAAAUGUAUUGAUUUGCAUUUACAAAAAUUAGAGAACGACAUCGAAAGAAUAAGAGCAAAACAUAAAUCAACAGAAAAAAAAAUAAAUAGUAACAAAGUUUUGAGUGAUAAUAAUAAUGUUAAUAUUAUUAAUGAAAAAAGGGAUAAUAUUGUUAAUGAAAAAUGUCAGUUUACAACUGUAUUAGGAGAAGAUGUAUCGGUUAAUGAUACAUUAAACAAAAUUAUCGAAACGUCUUUUUCUCUUUAUAACAAUAUAAUU